This 460-nucleotide ribosomal RNA is filed under the name uncultured bacterium. Its description in RNAcentral is "partial 16S ribosomal RNA". It matches the Rfam family "Bacterial small subunit ribosomal RNA", at positions 338 to 795 of the family's 1533-position model. The record is from RNAcentral.
CCUACGGGUGGCUGCAGUGAGGAAUAUUGGUCAAUGGGCGCGAGCCUGAACCAGCCAAGUAGCGUGAAGGAUUACUGCCCUACGGGUUGUAAACUUCUUUUAUAAAGGAAUAAAGUGAGGCACGUGUGCCUUUUUGUAUGUACUUUAUGAAUAAGGAUCGGCUAACUCCGGGCCACCAGCCGCGGUAAUACGGAGGAUCCGAGCGUUAUCCGGAUUUAUUGGGUUUAAAGGGAGCGUAGCUUGGUUGUUAAGUCAGUUGUGAACGUUUGCGGGUUAACCGUAAAAUUGCAAUUGAUACUGGCAGCCUUGAGUACAGUAGAGGUAGGCGGAAUUCGUGGUGUAGCGGUGAAAUGCUUAGAUAUCACGAAGAACUCCGAUUGCGAAGGCAGCCUACUAAACUGCCACUGACAUUGAUGCUCGAAAGUGUGGGUAUCAAACAGGAUUAGAUACCCCAGUAGUC